This 391-nucleotide unclassified non-coding RNA is filed under the name soil metagenome. Its description in RNAcentral is "partial contains 5.8S ribosomal RNA, internal transcribed spacer 2, and large subunit ribosomal RNA". The stretch from base 1 to 122 matches the Rfam family "5.8S ribosomal RNA", at positions 35 to 154 of the family's 154-position model. The record is from RNAcentral.
GAUGAAGAACGUAGCGAAAUGCGAUACUUGGUGUGAAUUGCAGAAUCCCGUGAACCAUCGAGUCUUUGAACGCAAGUUGCGCCCGAAGCCAUUAGGCCGAGGGCACGCCUGCCUGGGCGUCACACGUCGUUGCCCCCCCAUCUACUCCUUCGGGAUUGCGGGGGGCGGAUGAUGGCCUCCCGUGCGCCUCGCCGCGCGGUUGGCAUAAAUGCCAAGUCCUCGGCGACGCACGCCACGACAAUCGGUGGUUGCGAAACCUCGGUUGCCCGUCGUGUGCGGUCGUCGCGCAUCGAGGNNUCGAAAAAAUUGCCGGGUUCCGGCUCGGCUUUCAACGCGACCCCAGGUCAGGCGGGGUUACCCGCUGAAUUUAAGCAUAUCAAUAAGCGGAGGA